UUGUAGUUUAAAACUAUUGUUUGCAUUUUUUUUUUGCUUGUUAGAGCAUGCGAAUGUAUUUGUAUCAUAUUUUUGAAUCAUUAGACCUAGGAAUAACAAGAGCAGUUCCAAUUUGUUACUUAAAAGAAUCUGAACUAGUAAUAUUUUGGUCCAUAUGUCUUAAGAUAUGCAGAUCAUAAUGAAUUAUCCAGAUUCUCAGUUUGUCCAUGCAUCUUACAUCCCAAUUUAAUCAUUAUCAUUCACUUUUUAAAUCGAUAGGUAAAAUAGUAUAAAAGCAUUCCAUAGUGGGAUUAUAAGUUGUUCAAAUAUUGUAAAUCAUGGCACUUAUGGAGCUCAUAUCUUCUUGGUAGGAAUCUAGGUGUUGAUCUGAAAUUCUCAGACAUGAUCUUGUAUUCAUAAUUUUUGAGUACUGCCCUCUCCGCUUUGCCUUAAAAACUUUAAAUUCCAAUAGCCUGUAAUUUGUCUUCUUUUAAUAAACAUCUUCUUCCAUAAUUUCUUAAAACUUCCUAGUGUCUUCAGAACAUCUAUGUGGUCUAUUUAACUUGUUCCCUCUCUCAUAUUAGCUAGCUUUUGAAUAUCAUUAAAUCUAUCUUUUGAAUUUUGAAACUCAUUAUGAAAAUCAUAAACUCUGCAUACCUCAAUCUAGUUUGCUGCUCCUUUCAAAUUCUUAUACCUUCAAAUUCUUAUGUAUCUCUAGCCUUCUAACAUAUUUUGAAGCUCCUUUUCCACCAGUGGCUACUUUAAUAUGUGAAUUCUGCUUUUGUGCUUGUGCACGCAUCAUCAUGUGAAUUUUCACUUUUCUUUUCCAAUCUUAAAUGCCCAUGGCCAGUAAUUUGCCUUCUUCUAGUUAACACU
RNAcentral lists this long non-coding RNA (855 nucleotides) under Phoenix dactylifera (date palm). RNAcentral describes it as "long non-coding RNA (PDAC_LNC017578)". The record is from RNAcentral. Lineage: Eukaryota; Viridiplantae; Streptophyta; Magnoliopsida; Arecales; Arecaceae.